RNAcentral lists this ribosomal RNA (499 nucleotides) under Boophis madagascariensis (Madagascar bright-eyed frog). Its description in RNAcentral is "partial 16S ribosomal RNA". It matches the Rfam family "Bacterial large subunit ribosomal RNA", at positions 1927 to 2591 of the family's 2925-position model. The record is from RNAcentral. Lineage: Eukaryota; Metazoa; Chordata; Amphibia; Anura; Mantellidae.
ACGGCCGCGGUACCCUAACCGUGCGAAGGUAGCAUAAUCACUUGUUCUUUAAAUGAGGACUCGUAUCAACGGCAUCACGAGGAUCCUACUGUCUCCCCCCUCUAAUCGGUGAAACUGAUCUCUCCGUGAAGAAGCGGAGAUGUACAUAUAAGACGAGAAGACCCCAUGGAGCUUUAAACCCAACAACACCCGCCCCCCCUCCAAAUCCUAUUAUUUACCCGGUGAUUGUUUGUUUGGUUUUAGGUUGGGGUGACCGCGGAGUAUAAGAUAUCCUCCAUGAAAAAAAGCUAACUGCCCUUAUUAGAGAAAGACACUUCCAAAAAAUAAUAAAUUAAUUUUAAAUGAUCCGACAUUCGAUCAACGAACCAAGUUACCCUGGGGAUAACAGCGCAAUCCGUCCCGAGAGCCCCUAUCGACAGGCGGGUUUACGACCUCGAUGUUGGAUCAGGGUAUCCCAGUGGUGCAGCAGCUACUAAAGGUUCGUUUGUUCAACGAUUAA